This 207-nucleotide ribosomal RNA is filed under the name uncultured bacterium. Its description in RNAcentral is "partial 16S ribosomal RNA". It matches the Rfam family "Bacterial small subunit ribosomal RNA", at positions 568 to 775 of the family's 1533-position model. The record is from RNAcentral.
CUCGUAGGUGGCCAACUAAGUCAGACGUGAAAUCCCUCGGCUUAACCGGGGAACUGCGUCUGAUACUGGAUGGCUUGAGUUUGGGAGAGGGACGCGGAAUUCCAGGUGUAGCGGUGAAAUGCGUAGAUAUCUGGAGGAACACCGGUGGCGAAGGCGGCGUCCUGGACCAACACUGACACUGAUGAGCGAAACGAGGGAGGCGAAGCG